This 274-nucleotide ribosomal RNA is filed under the name uncultured bacterium. Its description in RNAcentral is "partial 16S ribosomal RNA". It matches the Rfam family "Bacterial small subunit ribosomal RNA", at positions 523 to 796 of the family's 1533-position model. The record is from RNAcentral.
AUACGGAGGGUGCAAGCGUUAAUCGGAAUUACUGGGUGUAAAGCGUUCGUAGGCGGUUUGUUAAGUUAGAUGUGAAAGCCCCGGGCUCAACCUGGGAACUGCAUUUAAAACUGGCAAACUCGAGUUUAGGAGAGGGAAGUGGAAUUUCAGGUGUAGCAGUGAAAUGCGUAGAGAUCUGAAGGAACACCAGUGGCGAAGGCGACUUCCUGGACUAAAACUGACGCUGAGGAACGAAAGCGUGGGUAGCAAACGGGAUUAGAAACCCCUGUAGUCC